RNAcentral lists this RNase P RNA (468 nucleotides) under SAR202 cluster bacterium Io17-Chloro-G9. RNAcentral describes it as "RNase P RNA component class A". It matches the Rfam family "Bacterial RNase P class A". Rfam says of the family: Ribonuclease P (RNase P) is a ubiquitous endoribonuclease, found in archaea, bacteria and eukarya as well as chloroplasts and mitochondria. Its best characterised activity is the generation of mature 5'-ends of tRNAs by cleaving the 5'-leader elements of precursor-tRNAs. Lineage: Bacteria; Bacillati; Chloroflexota; Dehalococcoidia. The record is from RNAcentral.
CACGUUGACCGGGUGACCGCCGCCUCGUCCGCCUAAGGCGGACCUGGGGGAGGAAAGUCCGGGCUCCGCCGGACAGGGUGCUGGGUAACUCCCAGGCCCCGAUAACCGGAUCACCGGAAUCGGGGACGGAAAGUGGCACAGAAACAUACCGUCCGCCUAAGGCGGAUAAGGGUGAAAUCGGACGGUAAGAGCGUCCGGCCGUCUGCGGUGACGCAGCGGCGGCCAAACCCCACUUGGAGCAAGGCCAAAUAGGGGGACCAUGGGUGUCCGGCCCGUCCCCGGGUUGGCUGCUUGACCCCGAUGGCAACAUCGUCCCCUCCGCCUUUGGCGGACUGGGGAGCCUUAAGGCUCAGGCCUUGGGGCGGGCUAGAUAGAUGGUCACCGCCCGGCCCGGCCGCAUUGGGACCUGGUUCCUAAAUGUGACACGGGUAGCAGGUACAGAACCCGGCUUACAGGUCCGCGUGGCUC